UGAGACCUGAUGCCGAGCCGAUUGUGGUGAAGUGGAUGAUCCUAUGCUGUCGAGAAAAGCCUCUAGCGAGUUUCAUGGCGGCCCGUACCCUAAACCGACUCAGGUGGUCAGGUAGAGAAUACCGAGGCGUUCGGGUGAACUAUGGUUAAGGAACUCGGCAAAAUGCCCCCGUAACUUCGGGAGAAGGGGGGCCACAACCGGUGAUGAGUCUUGCACUCUGAGCUGGGGGUGGCCGCAGAGACCAGCGAGAAGCGACUGUUUACUAAAAACACAGGUCCGUGCGAAGCCGUAAGGCGAUGUAUACGGACUGACGCCUGCCCGGUGCUGGAACGUUAAGGGGACCGGUUAGUCACAUUUCGGUGUGGCGAAGCUGAGAACUUAAGCGCCAGUAAACGGCGGUGGUAACUAUAACCAUCCUAAGGUAGCGAAAUUCCUUGUCGGGUAAGUUCCGACCUGCACGAAUGGCGUAACGACUUCUCGACUGUCUCAACCAUAGGCCCGGUGAAAUUGCACUACGAGUAAAGAUGCUCGUUUCGCGCAGCAGGACGGAAAGACCCCGGGACCUUUACUACAGUUUGAUAUUGGUGUUCGGUUCGGCUUGUGUAGGAUAGGUGGGAGACUUUGAAGCGGCCACGCCAGUGGUUGUGGAGUCGUCGUUGAAAUACCACUCUGGUCGUGCUGGAUGUCUAACCUCGGUCCGUGAUCCGGAUCAGGGACAGUGUCUGAUGGGUAGUUUAACUGGGGCGGUUGCCUCCUAAAGAGUAACGGAGGCGCCCAAAGGUUCCCUCAGCCUGGUUGGCAAUCAGGUGUUGAGUGUAAGUGCACAAGGGAGCUUGACUGUGAGACCGACGGGUCGAGCAGGGACGAAAGUCGGGACUAGUGAUCCGGCGGUGGCUUGUGGAAGCGCCGUCGCUCAACGGAUAAAAGGUACCCCGGGGAUAACAGGCUGAUCUUCCCCAAGAGUCCAUAUCGACGGGAUGGUUUGGCACCUCGAUGUCGGCUCGUCGCAUCCUGGGGCUGGAGUCGGUCCCAAGGGUUGGGCUGUUCGCCCAUUAAAGCGGUACGCGAGCUGGGUUUAGAACGUCGUGAGACAGUUCGGUCCCUAUCCGCUGCGCGCGCAGGAACAUUGAGAAGGGCUGUCCCUAGUACGAGAGGACCGGGACGGACGAACCUCUGGUGUGCCAGUUGUCCUGCCAAGGGCAUGGCUGGUUGGCUACGUUCGGAAAGGAUAACCGCUGAAAGCAUCUAAGCGGGAAGCCUGCUUCGAGAUGAGUGUUCCCACCUCCUUGAGAGGGUAAGGCUCCCAGUAGACGACUGGGUUGAUAGGCCAGAUGUGGAAGCCCGGUAACGGGUGGAGCUGACUGGUACUAAUAGGCCGAGGGCUUGUCCUCAGUUG
Molecule: ribosomal RNA, 1396 nt
Filed under: Streptomyces sp. WM6378
Lineage: Bacteria; Bacillati; Actinomycetota; Actinomycetes; Kitasatosporales; Streptomycetaceae
Description: bacterial LSU rRNA
Rfam family: Bacterial large subunit ribosomal RNA
Source: RNAcentral